This 274-nucleotide non-coding RNA is filed under the name Heyndrickxia sporothermodurans. RNAcentral's name for it is "Bacillus sporothermodurans T-box sequence". It matches the Rfam family "T-box leader". Rfam says of the family: Uncharged tRNA acts as the effector for transcription antitermination of genes in the T-box leader family. T-boxes are found upstream of many aminoacyl-tRNA synthetase genes and some amino acid biosynthetic genes usually in Gram-positive bacteria. The record is from RNAcentral. Lineage: Bacteria; Bacillati; Bacillota; Bacilli; Caryophanales; Bacillaceae.
CAAAAAACGUUGACGAGGACAAAUGGAUAAGAACAAGUAUUCACAGAGAGUCGGGCUUGCUGGAAACCGAUAAUACCUCUUAUCCUAACUCACCUCGGAGUGCUAGUCUGAAAGAUUAAGUAGGAUUAGCCGAGUGUUCACUUAAACACUCGUUACAAAAAAGUAACAGUUUGAAGUUAUCGUUUAAAACUUUAAGCUGCUACACGAGUUGCUAUUUCGUAAGGAUAGCAUAAAGUUGGGUGGUACCGUGAAAAGAAGUCUUUUCAUCCCUUCA